This is a long non-coding RNA of Alosa sapidissima (American shad), 102 nucleotides long. RefSeq lists it as uncharacterized. The record is from RefSeq and is a predicted model, not a curated record. The transcript has 3 exons. Lineage: Eukaryota; Metazoa; Chordata; Actinopteri; Clupeiformes; Clupeidae.
CGUUGUCAGAGUGAUCUCACACUAGAUAUCCAUGCCGAUCUCCCACUAGAAAUGUAUGCCUGGUCUUUUCAAGGGUAUAUGAAGGAUUUUAGAGGAAUGUUC